RNAcentral lists this long non-coding RNA (281 nucleotides) under Phoenix dactylifera (date palm). RNAcentral describes it as "long non-coding RNA (PDAC_LNC007688)". Lineage: Eukaryota; Viridiplantae; Streptophyta; Magnoliopsida; Arecales; Arecaceae. The record is from RNAcentral.
CCUUACCACUUCGCAAAGUUAUUAUACUCUUCGCUUGUUCUUUAUGCAAAGUUGAAGAUGAUGCAUUGCUACCGCCAUAGACUUGAGGAUUAGGUUGUGGUUGAGCUGGUAGCUUGCCUUUCUCUUGAGCACUUAAAGCAGUGGUCAGCGUUGUCAGUUGAUUUCUUAAUUCAUCAUUGAUUUUAGCUUGGCCUUGCAUGAAAGAUUGCAAAGUUUCUUCGAGACUGGAUUUUUGAGGGGGUGCGUGUGCAUAAUGAGGUUGCGGAGGUGGAGGAGUUGGG